Molecule: ribosomal RNA, 301 nt
Filed under: uncultured bacterium
Lineage: Bacteria
Description: partial 16S ribosomal RNA
Rfam family: Bacterial small subunit ribosomal RNA
Source: RNAcentral
CAGCCGCCACGGUAAAACGAAGGGGGCUAGCGUUGUUCGGAUUUACUGGGCGUAAAGCGCACGUAGGCGGACUUUUAAGUCAGGGGUGAUAUCCCGGGGCUCAACCCCGGAACUGCCUUUGAUACUGGGAGUCUUGAGUAUGGUAGAGGUGAGUGGAAUUCCGAGUGUAGAGGUGAAAUUCGUAGAUAUUCGGAGGAACACCAGUGGCGAAGGCGGCUCACUGGACCAUUACUGACACUGAGAGACGAAAGCUAGGGGAGCAAACAGGAUUAGAUACCCCAGUAGUCCCUGUCUCUUAUAC